Molecule: ribosomal RNA, 855 nt
Filed under: Arambarria destruens
Lineage: Eukaryota; Fungi; Basidiomycota; Agaricomycetes; Hymenochaetales; Hymenochaetaceae
Description: LSU rRNA
Rfam family: Eukaryotic large subunit ribosomal RNA
Source: RNAcentral
CUGCGAGUGAAGCGGGAAAAGCUCAAAUUUGAAAUCUGGCGGUCUUUGGCCGUCCGAGUUGUAACCUGGAGGAGUGUUUUCCGCGUCGGACCGUGUACAAGUCUCCUGGAACGGAGCGUCAUAGAGGGUGAGAAUCCCGUCCAUGACACGGACAGCCGGUGCUUUGUGAUACACUCUCGAAGAGUCGCGUUGUUUGGGAAUGCAGCGCAAAAUGGGUGGUAAAUUCCAUCUAAAGCUAAAUAUGGGCGAGAGACCGAUAGCGAACAAGUACCGUGAGGGAAAGAUGAAAAGCACUUUGGAAAGAGAGUUAAACAGUACGUGAAAUUGUUGAAAGGGAAACGCUUGAAGUCAGUCGCGUCUUGGUGGAACUCAGCCUUGCUUCGGCCUGGUGUACUUUCCAUUAGACGGGUCAACAUCAAUUUUGGCCGGUGGACAAAGGCGGGGGGAAUGUAGCGUCGUUUCGGCGACGUGUUAUAGCCCCUCGUCAUAUGCAUCGGCCGGGAUUGAGGACCGCAGCGCGCCCUUUUUUGUGGCCGGGGGUUCGCCCCACGUACCGCGCUUAGGAUGUUGGCAUAAUGGCUUUAAGCGACCCGUCUUGAAACACGGACCAAGGAGUCUAACAUGUUUGCGAGUGUUCGGGUGGAAAACCCUUGCGCGCAAUGAAAGUGAAAGUUGGGAGCCUCCGCAAGGGGGUGCACCGACGCCCGGCCCUGACGUUCUCUGACGGUGCUGCGGUAGAGCAAGUAUGUUGGGACCCGAAAGAUGGUGAACUAUGCCUGAAUAGGGCGAAGCCAGAGGAAACUCUGGUGGAGGCUCGUAGCGAUUCUGACGUGCAAAUCGAUCGUCAAAUUUGGG